Molecule: ribosomal RNA, 458 nt
Filed under: uncultured bacterium
Lineage: Bacteria
Description: partial 16S ribosomal RNA
Rfam family: Bacterial small subunit ribosomal RNA
Source: RNAcentral
GAUAAACGCUGGCGGCGUGCAUGAGACAUGCAAGUCGAACGAAGGAUCGGGCUUGCUCGAUCCUUAGUGGCGGACGGCUGAGUAACGCGUAGGUGACCUACCCCGAAGUGGGGAAUAACUGCCCGAAAGGGUGGCUAAUACCGCAUGUGGUCGCACGUUCAUUCGUGCGAGUAAAGCCGCAAGGCGCUUCGGGAGGGGCCUGCGUCCGAUUAGCUCGUUGGUGGGGUAAUGGCUUACCAAGGCGACGAUCGGUAGGUGGUCUGAGAGGACGAUCACACAGACUGGGACUGAGACACGGCCCAGACUCCUACGGGAGGCAGCAGUCGGGAAUUUUGCUCAAUGGGGGAAACCCUGAAGCAGCAACGCCGCGUGAGGGAUGAAGGCCGUCGGGUUGUAAACCUCUUUUGUCAGGGACGAUGAUGACGGUACCUGGCGAAUAAGCCACGGCUAACUACGUG